RNAcentral lists this ribosomal RNA (2300 nucleotides) under Staphylococcus aureus. RNAcentral describes it as "bacterial LSU rRNA". It matches the Rfam family "Bacterial large subunit ribosomal RNA", at positions 523 to 2830 of the family's 2925-position model. The record is from RNAcentral. Lineage: Bacteria; Bacillati; Bacillota; Bacilli; Caryophanales; Staphylococcaceae.
ACCCCGGAAGGGGAGUGAAAUAGAACCUGAAACCGUGUGCUUACAAGUAGUCAGAGCCCGUUAAUGGGUGAUGGCGUGCCUUUUGUAGAAUGAACCGGCGAGUUACGAUUUGAUGCAAGGUUAAGCAGUAAAUGUGGAGCCGUAGCGAAAGCGAGUCUGAAUAGGGCGUUUAGUAUUUGGUCGUAGACCCGAAACCAGGUGAUCUACCCUUGGUCAGGUUGAAGUUCAGGUAACACUGAAUGGAGGACCGAACCGACUUACGUUGAAAAGUGAGCGGAUGAACUGAGGGUAGCGGAGAAAUUCCAAUCGAACCUGGAGAUAGCUGGUUCUCUCCGAAAUAGCUUUAGGGCUAGCCUCAAGUGAUGAUUAUUGGAGGUAGAGCACUGUUUGGACGAGGGGCCCCUCUCGGGUUACCGAAUUCAGACAAACUCCGAAUGCCAAUUAAUUUAACUUGGGAGUCAGAACAUGGGUGAUAAGGUCCGUGUUCGAAAGGGAAACAGCCCAGACCACCAGCUAAGGUCCCAAAAUAUAUGUUAAGUGGAAAAGGAUGUGGCGUUGCCCAGACAACUAGGAUGUUGGCUUAGAAGCAGCCAUCAUUUAAAGAGUGCGUAAUAGCUCACUAGUCGAGUGACACUGCGCCGAAAAUGUACCGGGGCUAAACAUAUUACCGAAGCUGUGGAUUGUCCUUUGGACAAUGGUAGGAGAGCGUUCUAAGGGCGUUGAAGCAUGAUCGCAAGGACAUGUGGAGCGCUUAGAAGUGAGAAUGCCGGUGUGAGUAGCGAAAGACGGGUGAGAAUCCCGUCCACCGAUUGACUAAGGUUUCCAGAGGAAGGCUCGUCCGCUCUGGGUUAGUCGGGUCCUAAGCUGAGGCCGACAGGCGUAGGCGAUGGAUAACAGGUUGAUAUUCCUGUACCACCUAUAAUCGUUUUAAUCGAUGGGGGGACGCAGUAGGAUAGGCGAAGCGUGCGAUUGGAUUGCACGUCUAAGCAGUAAGGCUGAGUAUUAGGCAAAUCCGGUACUCGUUAAGGCUGAGCUGUGAUGGGGAGAAGACAUUGUGUCUUCGAGUCGUUGAUUUCACACUGCCGAGAAAAGCCUCUAGAUAGAAAAUAGGUGCCCGUACCGCAAACCGACACAGGUAGUCAAGAUGAGAAUUCUAAGGUGAGCGAGCGAACUCUCGUUAAGGAACUCGGCAAAAUGACCCCGUAACUUCGGGAGAAGGGGUGCUCUUUAGGGUUAACGCCCAGAAGAGCCGCAGUGAAUAGGCCCAAGCGACUGUUUAUCAAAAACACAGGUCUCUGCUAAACCGUAAGGUGAUGUAUAGGGGCUGACGCCUGCCCGGUGCUGGAAGGUUAAGAGGAGUGGUUAGCUUCUGCGAAGCUACGAAUCGAAGCCCCAGUAAACGGCGGCCGUAACUAUAACGGUCCUAAGGUAGCGAAAUUCCUUGUCGGGUAAGUUCCGACCCGCACGAAAGGCGUAACGAUUUGGGCACUGUCUCAACGAGAGACUCGGUGAAAUCAUAGUACCUGUGAAGAUGCAGGUUACCCGCGACAGGACGGAAAGACCCCGUGGAGCUUUACUGUAGCCUGAUAUUGAAAUUCGGCACAGCUUGUACAGGAUAGGUAGGAGCCUUUGAAACGUGAGCGCUAGCUUACGUGGAGGCGCUGGUGGGAUACUACCCUAGCUGUGUUGGCUUUCUAACCCGCACCACUUAUCGUGGUGGGAGACAGUGUCAGGCGGGCAGUUUGACUGGGGCGGUCGCCUCCUAAAAGGUAACGGAGGCGCUCAAAGGUUCCCUCAGAAUGGUUGGAAAUCAUUCAUAGAGUGUAAAGGCAUAAGGGAGCUUGACUGCGAGACCUACAAGUCGAGCAGGGUCGAAAGACGGACUUAGUGAUCCGGUGGUUCCGCAUGGAAGGGCCAUCGCUCAACGGAUAAAAGCUACCCCGGGGAUAACAGGCUUAUCUCCCCCAAGAGUUCACAUCGACGGGGAGGUUUGGCACCUCGAUGUCGGCUCAUCGCAUCCUGGGGCUGUAGUCGGUCCCAAGGGUUGGGCUGUUCGCCCAUUAAAGCGGUACGCGAGCUGGGUUCAGAACGUCGUGAGACAGUUCGGUCCCUAUCCGUCGUGGGCGUAGGAAAUUUGAGAGGAGCUGUCCUUAGUACGAGAGGACCGGGAUGGACAUACCUCUGGUGUACCAGUUGUCGUGCCAACGGCAUAGCUGGGUAGCUAUGUGUGGACGGGAUAAGUGCUGAAAGCAUCUAAGCAUGAAGCCCCCCUCAAGAUGAGAUUUCCCAACUUCGGUUAU